AAUAAAUCUGCACUGUUCAUCGCAUUUGAUCUCAACCGUUUGAUCAAGCAUAAGGAAAAAAAUAGAUUCGAACCGUCCACGCGUGCGAAAUUAAUCCUAGGUCGUCUGAUCGCGAUUCACGCGGAUCGCUAACAUGGCAACCCACAUGGUGCUAACGUCAGCCUGCUUGACCACGCGAUGCACUUUGCUUCUUUGAGGCUGCUGACUGGGCGAUCCUACAUAGCUAAACUUUCUCUAACAGUACUUUGACCUCCUGU
RNAcentral lists this long non-coding RNA (257 nucleotides) under Carica papaya (papaya). RNAcentral's name for it is "long non-coding RNA (CPAP_LNC007543)". The record is from RNAcentral. Lineage: Eukaryota; Viridiplantae; Streptophyta; Magnoliopsida; Brassicales; Caricaceae.